GGAGUUGGCUAGACAGUCGCUCUGCAUAAGCAGGGAGGAAAGUCCGGGCUUCAUAGGGCAAAGUGCCAGGUAACGCCUGGGGGGUGUAAACCUACGGAAAGUGCCGCAGAAAGUAAACCGCC
Molecule: RNase P RNA, 122 nt
Filed under: Methylococcaceae bacterium
Lineage: Bacteria; Pseudomonadati; Pseudomonadota; Gammaproteobacteria; Methylococcales; Methylococcaceae
Description: partial RNase P RNA component class A
Rfam family: Bacterial RNase P class A
About the family: Ribonuclease P (RNase P) is a ubiquitous endoribonuclease, found in archaea, bacteria and eukarya as well as chloroplasts and mitochondria. Its best characterised activity is the generation of mature 5'-ends of tRNAs by cleaving the 5'-leader elements of precursor-tRNAs.
Source: RNAcentral